UCGUAACAAGGUCUCCGUUGGUGAACCAGCGGAGGGAUCAUUAAAGAGUUGCAAAACUCCCAAACCAUUGUGAACAUACCUUCAACGUUGCUUCGGCGGGUUGGCCCCGGUCUCCGGGGUCCCCGGCCCUACUCGGGCGCCCGCCGGAGGUAUCUAACUCUUGAACUUUUACGGCCUCUCUGAGUCUUUGUACUUAAUAAGUCAAAACUUUCAACAACGGAUCUCUUGGUUCUGGCAUCGAUGAAGAACGCAGCGAAAUGCGAUAAGUAAUGUGAAUUGCAGAAUUCAGUGAAUCAUCGAAUCUUUGAACGCACAUUGCGCCCGCCAGUAUUCUGGCGGGCAUGCCUGUUCGAGCGUCAUUUCAACCAUCAAGCCCCCGGCUUGUGUUGGGGACCUGCGGCUGCCGCAGGCCCUGAAAACCAGUGGCGGGCUCGCUAGUCACUCCGAGCGUAGUAAUACAUCUCGCUCAGGGCGUGCUGCGGGUUCCGGCCGUUAAAAACCCUUAUUUACCCAAGGUUGACCUCGGAUCAGGUAGGAAGACCCGCUGAACUUAAGCAUAUCAAUAA
RNAcentral lists this unclassified non-coding RNA (566 nucleotides) under Trichocladium nigrospermum. RNAcentral describes it as "sequence contains 18S rRNA gene, ITS1, 5.8S rRNA gene, ITS2, 28S rRNA gene". The stretch from base 206 to 359 matches the Rfam family "5.8S ribosomal RNA". Lineage: Eukaryota; Fungi; Ascomycota; Sordariomycetes; Sordariales; Chaetomiaceae. The record is from RNAcentral.